GGAGCCGCCUCGCGAGGGGCCCCAGUCGAGGAGCCCGCCUCUUCGGCGCUCCUCAUCGUCAUGUUGCUCAAGGAGGAUAUGGCUAUGAGAA
RNAcentral lists this small RNA (91 nucleotides) under Sinorhizobium saheli. RNAcentral describes it as "Repression of heat shock gene expression (ROSE) element". It matches the Rfam family "Repression of heat shock gene expression (ROSE) element". From Rfam's summary of the family: This family represents a 5' UTR cis-regulatory element found in heat shock mRNAs and is known as the ROSE (repression of heat shock gene expression) element. The ROSE element is a negative regulator of heat shock gene expression. Lineage: Bacteria; Pseudomonadati; Pseudomonadota; Alphaproteobacteria; Hyphomicrobiales; Rhizobiaceae. The record is from Rfam by way of RNAcentral.